GUAGGUGGCAAGCGUUGUCCGGAAUUAUUGGGCGUAAAGCGCGCGCAGGCGGUUCGUUUAAGUCUGAUGUGAAAGCCCACGGGCUCAACCGUGGAGGGUCAUUGGAAACUGGAGAACUUGAGUACAGAAGAGGAAAGCGGAAUUCCACGUGUAGCGGUGAAAUGCGUAGAGAUGUGGAGGAACACCAGUGGCGAAGGCGGCUUUCUGGUCUGUAACUGACGCUGAGGCGCGAAAGCGUGGGGAGCAAACAGGAUUAGAUACCCAGGUAGUCCACGCCGUAAACGAUGAGUGCUAAGUGUUAGGGGGUUUCCGCCCCUUAGUGCUGCAGCUAACGCAUUAAGCACUCCGCCUGGGGAGUACGGCCGCAAGGCUG
Molecule: ribosomal RNA, 373 nt
Filed under: uncultured organism
Description: partial 16S ribosomal RNA
Rfam family: Bacterial small subunit ribosomal RNA
Source: RNAcentral